This 481-nucleotide ribosomal RNA is filed under the name uncultured bacterium. RNAcentral's name for it is "bacterial SSU rRNA". It matches the Rfam family "Bacterial small subunit ribosomal RNA", at positions 501 to 985 of the family's 1533-position model. The record is from RNAcentral.
CUACGUGCCAGCAGCCGCGGUAAUACGGAAGGUUCGGGCGUUAUCCGGAUUUAUUGGGUUUAAAGGGAGCGUAGGCUGGAGAUUAAGUGUGUUGUGAAAUGUAGACGCUCAACGUCUGACUUGCAGCGCAUACUGGUUUCCUUGAGUACGCACAACGUUGGCGGAAUUCGUCGUGUAGCGGUGAAAUGCUUAGAUAUGACGAAGAACUCCGAUUGCGAAGGCAGCUGACGGGAGCGCAACUGACGCUGAAGCUCGAAGGUGCGGGUAUCGAACAGGAUUAGAUACCCUGGUAGUCCGCMCAGUAAACGAUGGAUGCCCGCUGUUGGUACCUGGUAUCAGCGGCUAAGCGAAAGCAUUAAGCAUCCCACCUGGGGAGUACGCCGGCAACGGUGAAACUCAAAGGAAUUGACGGGGGCCCGCACAAGCGGAGGAACAUGUGGUUUAAUUCGAUGAUACGCGAGGAACCUUACCCGGGCUUGAA